RNAcentral lists this ribosomal RNA (254 nucleotides) under uncultured bacterium. RNAcentral describes it as "partial 16S ribosomal RNA". It matches the Rfam family "Bacterial small subunit ribosomal RNA", at positions 524 to 776 of the family's 1533-position model. The record is from RNAcentral.
UACGGAGGGUGCAAGCGUUAUCCGGAUUCACUGGGUUUAAAGGGAGCGUAGGUGGCUUUGUAAGUCAGUGGUGAAAUCUUAGAGCUUAACUCUAAAACUGCCAUUGAUACUGCUUAGCUUGAAUCACGUCGAGGUGGAUGGAAUAUUACAUGUAGCGGUGAAAUGCUUAGAUAUGUAAUAGAACACCGAUUGCGAAGGCAGUUCACUAGGCGUGUAUUGACACUGAGGCUCGAAAGCGUGGGGGAUCAAACAGG